RNAcentral lists this ribosomal RNA (876 nucleotides) under uncultured Flavobacteriia bacterium. Its description in RNAcentral is "bacterial SSU rRNA". It matches the Rfam family "Bacterial small subunit ribosomal RNA", at positions 58 to 928 of the family's 1533-position model. The record is from RNAcentral. Lineage: Bacteria; Pseudomonadati; Bacteroidota; Flavobacteriia.
CAAGUCGUGGGGCAGCAGGUCUGUAGCAAUACAGACGCUGGCGACCGGCAAACGGGUGCGGAACACGUACACAACCUUCCUUUAAGUGGGGAAUAGCCCAGAGAAAUUUGGAUUAAUACCCCGUAACAUUUUGAAGUGGCAUCACUUUAUAAUUAUAGCUACGGCGCUUAAUGAUGGGUGUGCGUCUGAUUAGGUAGUUGGCGGAGUAAUAGCCCACCAAGCCUACGAUCAGUAACUGGUGUGAGAGCACGACCAGUCACACGGGCACUGAGACACGGGCCCGACUCCUACGGGAGGCAGCAGUAAGGAAUAUUGGGCAAUGGACGCAAGUCUGACCCAGCCAUGCCGCGUGGAGGAUGAAGGUCCUCUGGAUUGUAAACUUCUUUUAUCUGGGAAGAAAUCCAUCUUUUCUUGGGUGGUUGACGGUACCAGAUGAAUAAGCACCGGCUAACUCCGUGCCAGCAGCCGCGGUAAUACGGAGGGUGCAAGCGUUAUCCGGAUUCACUGGGUUUAAAGGGUGCGUAGGUGGGCAGGUAAGUCAGUGGUGAAAUCCUGUAGCUUAACUACAGAACUGCCAUUGAUACUAUUUGUCUUGAAUGCCCUGGAGGUGAGCGGAAUAUGUCAUGUAGCGGUGAAAUGCUUAGAUAUGACAUAGAACAUCUAUUGCGAAGGCAGCUCACUACGGGAAUAUUGACGCUGAGGCACGAAAGCGUGGGGAUCAAACAGGAUUAGAUACCCUGGUAGUCCACGCCCUAAACGAUGAUCACUCGACAUCAGCGAUACACUGUUGGUGUCUGAGCGAAAGCAUUAAGUGAUCCACCUGGGAAGUACGAUCGCAAGAUUGAAACUCAAAGGAAUUGGCGGGGGUCCGCACAA